GUCUCAGGCCGUAUCAGCCUGAAGGCGACCGAUCUCGUCUGAUCUCGGAAGCUAAGCAGGGUCGGGCCUGGUUAGUAUCUUGGAUGGGAGACCACCUGGGAAUCCCGGGUGCUCGAGGCU
Molecule: ribosomal RNA, 120 nt
Filed under: Bison bison bison
Lineage: Eukaryota; Metazoa; Chordata; Mammalia; Artiodactyla; Bovidae
Source: RNAcentral